This 236-nucleotide ribosomal RNA is filed under the name uncultured bacterium. RNAcentral's name for it is "partial 16S ribosomal RNA". It matches the Rfam family "Bacterial small subunit ribosomal RNA", at positions 120 to 354 of the family's 1533-position model. The record is from RNAcentral.
AGCAAUCUGCCUUGGAGUGGGGAAUAACGGCUGGAAACAGCCGCUAAUACCGCAUGACGCGUCUGGGAGGCAUCUCUCUGGACGCCAAAGAUUUAUCGCUACUGAGAUGAGCUCGCGUCUGAUUAGCUAGUUGGCGGGGUAACGGCCCACCAAGGCGACGAUCAGUAGCCGGACUGAGAGGUUGGCCGGCCACAUUGGGACUGAGACACGGCCCAGACUCCUACGGAAGGCAGCAG